RNAcentral lists this ribosomal RNA (1107 nucleotides) under Salmonella enterica subsp. enterica. RNAcentral describes it as "partial 23S ribosomal RNA". It matches the Rfam family "Bacterial large subunit ribosomal RNA", at positions 602 to 1629 of the family's 2925-position model. The record is from RNAcentral. Lineage: Bacteria; Pseudomonadati; Pseudomonadota; Gammaproteobacteria; Enterobacterales; Enterobacteriaceae.
UACCUUUUGUAUAAUGGGUCAGCGACUUAUAUUCUGUAGCAAGGUUAACCGAAUAGGGGAGCCGGAGGGAAACCGAGUCUUAACCGGGCGUUAAGUUGCAGGGUAUAGACCCGAAACCCGGUGAUCUAGCCAUGGGCAGGUUGAAGGUUGGGUAACACUAACUGGAGGACCGAACCGACUAAUGUUGAAAAAUUAGCGGAUGACCUGUGGCUGGGGGUGAAAGGCCAAUCAAACCGGGAGAUAGCUGGUUCUCCCCGAAAGCUAUUUAGGUAGCGCCUCGUGAACUCAUCUCCGGGGGUAGAGCACUGUUUCGGCUAGGGGGCCAUCCCGGCUUACCAACCCGAUGCAAACUGCGAAUACCGGAGAAUGUUAUCACGGGAGACACACGGCGGGUGCUAACGUCCGUCGUGAAGAGGGAAACAACCCAGACCGCCAGCUAAGGUCCCAAAGUCAUGGUUAAGUGGGAAACGAUGUGGGAAGGCCCAGACAGCCAGGAUGUUGGCUUAGAAGCAGCCAUCAUUUAAAGAAAGCGUAAUAGCUCACUGGUCGAGUCGGCCUGCGCGGAAGAUGUAACGGGGCUAAACCAUGCACCGAAGCUGCGGCAGCGAACGUAUCACCCAAGACAACUUUGCGGAGUUGACGAUUGACGGAGCGAAGCGACGUCAAAGCGUUCAUUAAAGUCGAGUUGGCUUAGGGAUACGUUCGUUGGGUAGGGGAGCGUUCUGUAAGCCAGUGAAGGUGUGUCGUGAGGCAUGCUGGAGGUAUCAGAAGUGCGAAUGCUGACAUAAGUAACGAUAAAGCGGGUGAAAAGCCCGCUCGCCGGAAGACCAAGGGUUCCUGUCCAACGUUAAUCGGGGCAGGGUGAGUCGACCCCUAAGGCGAGGCCGAAAGGCGUAGUCGAUGGGAAACGGGUUAAUAUUCCCGUACUUGGUGUUACUGCGAAGGGGGGACGGAGAAGGCUAUGUUGGCCGGGCGACGGUUGUCCCGGUUUAAGCGUGUAGGUGUGUGUUCCAGGUAAAUCCGGUUCACUUUAACACUGAGGCGUGAUGACGAGGCACUACGGUGCUGAAGUAACAAAUGCCCUGCUUCCAGGAAAAGCCUCUAAGC